Long non-coding RNA from Nerophis ophidion (straightnose pipefish), 842 nucleotides. RefSeq lists it as uncharacterized. Lineage: Eukaryota; Metazoa; Chordata; Actinopteri; Syngnathiformes; Syngnathidae. The transcript is spliced from 2 exons. The record is from RefSeq and is a predicted model, not a curated record.
CAUAUGGAAAUAUAGUGUCACUAAUAUAUUCUCCUAUUAUUUAUUUCUAAUUUAUGGUGUGCCAAAAGUCCCUUUGGUCACUUAAAAUGUUAAUUUAUGAUGUGUCAAAGUCAUGUGUUCACUACCGGGUUAAACUAAUGAUACAUGCACACAGCACGUUAUUCACAUGUUGGCCAGUAGAGAGCGCAUGCGCCUUUGUUAUUCCAGUCACUUCUUCACUGAACGUCACCCAGUGAAGACACGAGUCAUCAUUGUAUUACAAAGACAAAGUUUAAAAGUUAAAAAUACUUGUUACUUCUGUGACCGAGUGUUGGAAAAGCAGCAUAAGCGAGCCGGGUUCCAGUGGGCGUUGGAUUGCUGUGCUUUGUGCUGCUGAGAACUCCAAUUGUUUUUUUGUGUGAUCCUGAAGUCUGGUUCCAAGCUGGACUUGAGUUUGAUGGCGAGCCAGUCCCAGUGAGUGAGAGUCUGCGGAGAGGGAGCGUUUGGAUGUGGUGUGGCCAGCUACAUCGGUCUCCACCCUCUGCAGUGACAUAUUACUGAACUGAUCUACCAUCAGAGUCGCAAGUAUCGAACCGAAUCAAUAUGGAAUAACGGAUUACAAAAGAAUUAAGGAUUCCCAACAAAGGAAUAUAGACAGUGUUCAACUCAGUACUACCCGGGUAGAAUUCAAAUUUAAAAGGGACAUUUCUUCUAUUUUUUCUAUUUUGAUUUUUGUAACAGAGCUCUAUUUUAUUUUAUUUUUGGGAUAUUUUCAAUUCAAAAAGCACACUGUUCAUGUGUUGUUGUUUAUUAUUGUGCAAUAAAUUUGCCAGCAGCCGUUCUGUGGUCCACUACGUACAAAA